This 494-nucleotide ribosomal RNA is filed under the name uncultured bacterium. Its description in RNAcentral is "partial 16S ribosomal RNA". It matches the Rfam family "Bacterial small subunit ribosomal RNA", at positions 30 to 507 of the family's 1533-position model. The record is from RNAcentral.
AUUGAACGCUGGCGGCAUGCUUUACACAUGCCAGUCGAACGGCAGCGGGGAGGAGCUUGCUUCUCUGCCGGCGAGUGGCGAACGAGUGAGUCAUACAUCGGAACGUGUCGAGAAGAGGGGGAUAACCACCCGAAAGGGUGGCUAAUACCGCAUAAAUUCUGAGGAAGAAAGCUGGGGACCUAGGAAUAGGCCUAGCGCUUUUUGAGCGGUCGAUGUCGGAUUAGCUAGUUGGUGAGGUAAAGGCUCACCAAGGCGAAGAUCUGUAGCGGGUCUGAGAGGAUGAUCCGCCACACUGGGACUGAGACACGGCCCAGACUCCUACGGGAGGCAGCAGUGGGGAAUUUUGGACGAUGGGGGCAACCCUGAUCCAGCCAUGCCGCGUGUAUGAAGAAGGCCUUAGGGUUGUAAAGUACUUUUGUUAGGGAAGAAAAGUCAGCUGUGAAUAAUGGCUGAUACUGACGGUACCUAAAGAAUAAGCACCGGCUAACUACGUG